This 104-nucleotide small nuclear RNA is filed under the name Dasypus novemcinctus (nine-banded armadillo). The record is from RNAcentral. Lineage: Eukaryota; Metazoa; Chordata; Mammalia; Cingulata; Dasypodidae.
AUGUUAAAAAUCAUAAAGCACAUACACUGAAAUAGGAAUGAUACAGAUUAGCACAGCCCCUGCACAAGGAUGGCACACAAACUCAUAAAGCUUCCUAUAUUUUU